This 199-nucleotide microRNA precursor is filed under the name Oryza sativa Indica Group (long-grained rice). RNAcentral describes it as "MIR812 microRNA precursor family". It matches the Rfam family "MIR812 microRNA precursor family". Lineage: Eukaryota; Viridiplantae; Streptophyta; Magnoliopsida; Poales; Poaceae. The record is from Rfam by way of RNAcentral.
AAUAAAUACAAUUUUAAUACGGUUCAUGCUCAACGUUUCAUCGUCUUAUUUAAAAAAUAAUUAUGAUUAGUAUUAUUAUUAGAUGAUAAUGCAUGAAUAGUACUUUAUGUGUGACUAAUAUUUUUAAUUUUUUUCAUAAAAUUUUUAAAUAAGACGGACGGUCCAAAAUGCUGAAUAUAUAUCUAUGGCUGUAUUUAUU